This 258-nucleotide ribosomal RNA is filed under the name uncultured bacterium. RNAcentral's name for it is "partial 16S ribosomal RNA". It matches the Rfam family "Bacterial small subunit ribosomal RNA", at positions 793 to 1050 of the family's 1533-position model. The record is from RNAcentral.
GUCCACGCCGUAAACGAUGUCAACUAGCCGUUGGGACUCUUGAAGUCUUAGUGGCGCAGCUAACGCACUAAGUUGACCGCCUGGGGAGUACGGCCGCAAGGUUAAAACUCAAAUGAAUUGACGGGGGCCCGCACAAGCGGUGGAGCAUGUGGUUUAAUUCGACGCAACGCGAAGAACCUUACCUGGCCUUGACAUGCAGAGAACUUUCCAGAGAUGGAUUGGUGCCUUCGGGAACUCUGACACAGGUGCUGCAUGGCC